UCUUAGGGACUGGAAUUCAGACGCGUGCUGGGGCGUCUGGUCCACAGAAAGACCUGCACCACUGUCACCUUCACACAGGUUAACUUGGAAGACAAAGGGGCUCUGGCUGAGCUGGUGGAAGCCAUCAGAACCAAUGACAAUGACAGAUAUGAUGAGA
Long non-coding RNA from Lynx canadensis (Canada lynx), 157 nucleotides. RefSeq lists it as uncharacterized. NCBI's taxonomy places the organism in Eukaryota, Metazoa, Chordata, Mammalia, Carnivora, Felidae. The transcript has 3 exons. The record is from RefSeq and is a predicted model, not a curated record.